RNAcentral lists this unclassified non-coding RNA (567 nucleotides) under Hevea brasiliensis (rubber tree). Lineage: Eukaryota; Viridiplantae; Streptophyta; Magnoliopsida; Malpighiales; Euphorbiaceae. The record is from RNAcentral.
GUGAUUGCUAGCCCCAGUGGAACCUGGUAAUGAAAAAGAUAGCAAUAUUACAUUCUAGAGUAUGGUACAACACUAUUAAUGCAACCGAACAAUUAUAAAAUCUUGAGCUGUUAGAGAUGCAACAUUCCAGUGGUGUCAUUUUGACUUUGAACUUUUCACUUUUGCUACUCUAUUAAGAAUGUUAAAGUCCGUAGGUUUGCACUUAUGCUCCACCUGCAAAUCCAUGUAGUUUGUUCCACUUGGGUUGCCUCAUAGGCUACUUACAUUUUUUGCUUGUUUGUUUUUGUUGGGCCCACAAGAGAUAAUGGGUUUUAAAUGGAAAGUCCCAGGUUGGUUGCGAAAAAGAAUCUGACACAAGUUUCAAAGUUGCAUGGGAGAAGUCUCUCCAGUCAAUGGCUUAGGCUUAUAAAUGUGAAGCAAAAAUAGCAAUCAGAAUAUAUAAUGGAAAAUCAACAAGAAAGAAGAUUAGAUCUGUGCACUAAGGGCAGAGGGAAGAGCAAAAACAGCAACAAUGGAAAACAGGAUGAUUGAAAGAUCAAUUUGUCAAAGUAAACUUACCGCAUAAAU